Molecule: ribosomal RNA, 440 nt
Filed under: uncultured bacterium
Lineage: Bacteria
Description: bacterial SSU rRNA
Rfam family: Bacterial small subunit ribosomal RNA
Source: RNAcentral
CCUACGGGAGGCAGCAGUGGGGAAUAUUGCGCAAUGGGCGGAAGCCUGACGCAGCGACGCCGCGUGGGGGAUGAAGGCCUUCGGGUUGUAAACCUCUUUCACCAUUGACGAAGCUCCUUUUUUGGGGUGACGGUAGGUGGGGAAGAAGCGCCGGCUAACUACGUGCCAGCAGCCGCGGUAAUACGUAGGGCGCGAGCGUUGUCCGGAUUUAUUGGGCGUAAAGAGCUCGUAGGUGGUUUGUUGCGUCUGCCGUGAAAGCUCAUGGCUUAACUGUGGGUUUGCGGUGGAUACGGGCGGACUUGAGGCAGGUAGGGGAGAAUGGAAUUCCCGGUGUAGCGGUGAAAUGCGCAGAUAUCGGGAGGAACACCGGUGGCGAAGGCGGUUCUCUGGGCCUGUUCUGACACUGAGGAGCGAAAGCGUGGGGAGCGAACAGGAUUAGA